ACACUAUAUGAGCAGCUUCUCCUUGAAGCUCUCCUUGAUCGAGGAGGUGUAAGGCUUCGAGAAGCAGAACGAUAACGGAGUCUUCUAUAUCUAGAGUUAUAUAGCGAAUAUGACCUAUCACGUGACAUUCUAUAGUACCGAUCAUCAGGUGAGUAAGAACGGUCCCGCCUUCUAUAGUAUCGAUCCUCAGGAGAGUAAGAACGAUCCCGUCUGCAGUGGUAACGAUCAUCGGGAGAGUAAAACCUAUCACGCCUUCUAUAGUAUCUAUCAUCAGGAGAGUAAGAACGGUCCCGUCUAUGAUAAUAACAAUCAUAAGGAGAGUAGGACUGAUCACGCCUUCGAUAGUAUCGAUCUUCAGGAGAGUAGGAACAGUAACGAUAAUUCUUUCUAUAAUAGCGGUCAUCAGGUGAUCUACUAUACUGGGAAUGAGCACGUGAAUAAGACCUAUACUGGGGGGAGUAAGACCUGCUCCUACUCCUACUCCUACUCCUAUCAGAUGAAUAACA
This 506-nucleotide long non-coding RNA is filed under the name Gossypium raimondii (Peruvian cotton). RNAcentral describes it as "long non-coding RNA (GRAI_LNC011033)". Lineage: Eukaryota; Viridiplantae; Streptophyta; Magnoliopsida; Malvales; Malvaceae. The record is from RNAcentral.